UUGUUCUUAUGAAGUUAGCGGCGGACGGGUGAGUAACACGUGGGUAACCUGCCCAUAAGACUGGGAUAACUCCGGGAAACCGGGGCUAAUACCGGAUAACAUUUUGAACCGCAGGGUUCUAAAUUGAAAGGCGGCUUCGGCUGUCACUUAUGGAUGGACCCGCGUCGCAUUAGCUAGUUGGUGAGGUAACGGCUCACCAAGGCGACGAUGCGUAACCAACCUGAGAGGGUGAUCGGACACACUGGGACUGAUACACGGCCCAGACUCCUACGGGAGGCAGCAAUAGGGAAUCUUCCGCAAUGGACGAAAGUCUGACGGAGCAACGCCGCGUGAGUGAUGAAGGCUUUCGGGUCGUAAAACUCUGUUGUUAGGGAAGAACAAGUGCUAGUUGAAUAAGCUGGCACCUUGACGGUACCUAACCAGAAAGCCACGGCUAACUACGUGCCAGCAGCCGCGGUAAUACGUACGUGGCAAGCGUUAUCCGGAAUUAUUGGGCGUAAAGCGCGCGCAGGUGGUUUCUUAAGUCUGAUGUGAAAGCCCACGGCUCAACCGUGGAGGGGUCAUUGGAAACUGGGAGACUUGAGUGCAGAAGAGGAAA
RNAcentral lists this ribosomal RNA (598 nucleotides) under Bacillus sp. (in: firmicutes). Its description in RNAcentral is "bacterial SSU rRNA". It matches the Rfam family "Bacterial small subunit ribosomal RNA", at positions 75 to 660 of the family's 1533-position model. Lineage: Bacteria; Bacillati; Bacillota; Bacilli; Caryophanales; Bacillaceae. The record is from RNAcentral.